This 458-nucleotide unclassified non-coding RNA is filed under the name Hevea brasiliensis (rubber tree). The record is from RNAcentral. Lineage: Eukaryota; Viridiplantae; Streptophyta; Magnoliopsida; Malpighiales; Euphorbiaceae.
CUUUUAAUAAUUGGGAAUUUAUUUUCCUUUACAAUAAAAUUUGCAGGAAAUUUCUUGUGCUUUGUGUUCUUGACAAGUGACAUAAAUGGAUAUGUAGGAUUAAUUUUGCACUGGAUUUUCACUUUAAUUUCUACAUAUACUGGCUUAUCAAGUAUGAGGAAUUACAUCAACAAAUACUAAGACGCUGAAUCCAUUCGAAAACGUUGUUUCAUUUCAAGCAUUUUCUGAAGAAUAUGGUAUAAAAUAUCAGGGUAUUAUAGUGUUGGAUUCUUUUUAAAAGAUUUUAAGGUAAGCAACUUUCUUUAUGUCCAUUGCUUAGUUUUUUCAAAAUUGCAAGCAUGAGAAAUCUACUGUUUUUCAAAAUUUUCUUUAAAUCCUAACCUUAUGAACCAUCAACAAGCUUCAAAUAAUGCUCCCUACAAUUAUGUAUGCAGGAAGAAACGAAUUUGCUUUGCAUC